CAACAGCUUACAUACUUAUCUACUAUGGUGGCACAAAAAUAAGUUUUAGCAUAAUUAUUUUCCUGCUUGCAUACUAUAAAUAUGAAAAGUAUAAAAAUUAUAUUGAUCAUACUAAAAGAUAAAUGGGUAUAAGAAAGUUCUAGACUCUCAAAGCUUAGAGGUUUAUUACUAAUGCUUAAUCAGUUCCACAAGCUUUGUUGUCUAUUUGAGCUUCAUAGGCUUCAAAGGAUCAAGAAGAACUAACAGGCAGAAGGACGUUCUGUGCCCUGUCGGAGUACUAUUCACACGAGGUAAGUGCUGUUUCUGACAGCAAGUGCCUACGAUACUCCAAGAGGAUCAGUACGUCUUCACUGCCCGUCAGCAAUCUCAACAAACUGUGUCAACAUCCAGCUUGGGGGAGAGCAACCCCCGUACACUGAGCUAAGCAUCCCUUACUCGCUUAUAUAUUUAUUCCUAGUACGUUAUGACAAGAUAAAAAGAUGAAUAAUCUUGCUAGGAGAGCUCUUGAUAAAUCUGUUAAGAUGAACCUCUAGAAUAAACUCUUAUAUGGAGAUGAUGAAUAGUUGCUCUGCUGUAAUUUCUUGCAAGUAUCUAGUUUUUAACCUUGUACUCUCUUGAGUUUUAGACACAACUGUUUAGACUUAAGAUUUGCUCUAAGCCUGAAACUUGUGGGUAGCAAAUGCUUGAUCUAAGUCUAGGUAGUUGACAGAUAUGAUAUGGGAAGGUUUUGAGCUCCUAUCAGUCUUGCUCCUAGAGAUACUAGAGUUCUGGAGAACUUUAUUUUGAAAAUCUUAAAUUGCUACAUAAUGAGUUCCUUUAUGAUGAGAGUCUAAAACUCCUACCACAGCCAAAUACUCAUGGUGAUUAGAUUAGAAAAACCUUUCCACUUAUAUUUCAACCUAUAAGCAUUGAGGAUAGUUAAGCUGUGUAGACCCUAAGGAACUAGUCAUGCAGUUAAAGUCAAUAUUAUGUGCUCUCCAUCCAUUGAUCUUAGCUACUUCUGUCCUCAGAAGUAUGCAACCACUUACAUCUAUCAUAUUCACUAUGUGCUACUUCUGUUCCUGGAAGUACCACCCAUAUAUACACACUACACUCUAUGCUAUUUCUAUCCUUUAGACAUGCACUUAUGCUGCUCUUACCCUGAGAGUAUGCAUUCCUCUAUUUAUCACCCACACACAUUCUACAUCCACUUAGAAAAUGUUCUACUCCUACACUGGGAGAAGACACCCAAAAAUAUUAAAUGUCUUAUUCUACUUAUCCAGUAAAGCUCCAGUUAUCCCAGUUGAUACUCCCUACUGUUAUCAUUGCAUUAAAAGGGAUGGCUGAUCUCUAAAAAAGAGAGAGAGAAAAAAAGAAAAAAAAGAGGACAAAAGUCCCAAUGCAAAAGAAAAGAAAGAUAGCCAAAUCCUUGUUCUCAUAUUAGGAAGGUAUGUUAUCCCCAACGAGCAAAUGUCGAAUUAGAUAUUCACCAUCAGUUAUCACCCCUCAUAACUCCUUUCAUUCUUAUCACUUCACUCACAUGCACAUAUGACUUGAUUGUAUAAUUAGUUUCUCUAGAUCCAUGGUUUAACUAUGCAAUACAUGCAAGUAGGUUUGAAUUGUCUUUCCCACCCAUGAGCUCCACAUAAGCCAAUUAGAACUAGGGUGAGAGAGAGAAGGCAACUAUGUCUUAGUGAUACAAAUACCACAUAUUCUGAGAGCAGAGAGAAGGCAUACUCACUUGCCUUGGAGAGGAUCUAAAAAUACCACAUAUGAGAGACUGAAAAGUGUCAUACAAGGAAACUCUAAGUUUUAUUUGAAAAUCUUGCAAAACUCCAGAAUAAUAGUUGAUCAAAGAGCGGGUAGCAUAGUGCUUGACUUAACUGUUCUGUCUUUCAACUGCCCAAGACCUAAGUAAUAGCUAUAAGCCCUAUGGUGAAAGGAAAAAUGGGUGAGUCUUGAGUCAGAAUAGUUCACUCUAAUCCAGAGAGGAGUCCUUGUUUGAAUACUUGUGUACUUGUAAGGCGUGAAAGCAUUGUAGCAACUCCUGAUCCAUCACUGAGUCUAUCUUUGCUCAGGGACGAGCAAAAGGUAAGCUUGGGGGAGUUUGUUGACGGUAGUUAACUCCUAUUUUUAACUAUCAACAUAACUUUUAUAACUGCAAAGAGAUGCUCACCAACAUAGGUUUAGAGGUUUGAACUAACAAAUUCCAUGAGUUUUGGUGCAUCUAUGUUUUGUAGGGUUACACAGGAAAAGAGCUAAAGGCAAACUAAUCACUGAAUAAAAGUACCUCAAAUGAUGAAGUGGGCUGCACCAUUACAACAGGCUCAUCGAGACGAUCUAAACGGACAUAUCAAUUGCUAUAUUUGGAGUCUAGAGUGAAAACAUAUUAAUUUUACAAAUAAAGAAGAAUUACUACUAAUGGGCCCCACACCCAAGAAAGACCCAUGACGUGAGAAGAGGCUCAUAUGACAUGGUAGAGGCCCAAGAGAGGCGCCCCAAGCUGCUCCUUUGAGUAGGCUCACAUGAGGGACGAUUGGAAAGCCCAAGUUAAUGUAUAAUAGCCCAACAGAGCAAACGGUGAAAGAAUUAGUCCCACAUCGCAUGUCUAGAAGAGGUGGGAGACUUUUCUAGUCUAUAAAUAAAGAGGUAGACC
Molecule: long non-coding RNA, 2635 nt
Filed under: Sorghum bicolor (sorghum)
Lineage: Eukaryota; Viridiplantae; Streptophyta; Magnoliopsida; Poales; Poaceae
Description: long non-coding RNA (SBIC_LNC001413)
Source: RNAcentral